GGAAAAUUGAUUGUACCCCUUUGCCUAGACAAAACAAGUGACCCAAAGUCUCCAAAGAAGAUUACGAGGCACCUCAGUUCCUGCACCUGGACCAGUGAGCGAGAUGCUCAGAUGUGAAACCUGCCGCCUGCCAGAACCUGGCCGAGAAUGUGGACAAAGCUGCUGGACACUGGAAAAUUGAUUGUACCCCUUUGCCUAGACAAAACAAGGUCAGUCUUUUCCAUGUCCCUCUUCCACAGAGAGGAAAAAAACUCUCACAGUAUAGGCCUGGUGAAGAUUGCUGGUCUUUGAGACACCUGCCUCCAGCGGUAAUGGAGAAACUUGGGUAUGGACUGGCUUCUAACUGGCUUCUGUCACUUUUUAGUAGAUUCGGAUAAAGUAUACCCUUCUCAGAUCUCUGAAAUAUUACUGGUUGUCAGCUUGACAGCAUCAGGCAGUCAGAUCCACUAUAGACUAGUAAAUGUGUUAGCUGAUAAAAUAAUGACUAUCUACUGUUCAGGCACAAGCUCAAGGUUUUUAAGUUUAUUUUGGUUGUCAUCUAAGUACAAACUUAAAGGGCUUUUCAUCAGGCCAAAGUCACCUCUGUCCAAUCCAUACCUGGCUCUCUGGACAGAAGAAAAAU
Molecule: long non-coding RNA, 622 nt
Filed under: Cricetulus griseus (Chinese hamster)
Lineage: Eukaryota; Metazoa; Chordata; Mammalia; Rodentia; Cricetidae
Description: lncRNA (ENSCGRG00015033525.1)
Source: RNAcentral